AUGUCUCUGCGGUGCUCGCGACUGACAUGUGUCUUGAGCCGAUAAGCAAAUUGCAUGGAUAUCAAAUUUAGGUUGGCGUGCAUGCCCACAAGAUGGGAAGCCCGAUACCUAAACUAGGUAACCACUUGAACCCAAUGGUUCAAGAACCCCGUCACAACGACACUGUGGGGACUAU
Molecule: non-coding RNA, 175 nt
Organism: Methylophaga sp. 41_12_T18
Lineage: Bacteria; Pseudomonadati; Pseudomonadota; Gammaproteobacteria; Thiotrichales; Piscirickettsiaceae
Source: Rfam